Molecule: ribosomal RNA, 517 nt
Filed under: uncultured delta proteobacterium
Lineage: Bacteria; Deltaproteobacteria
Description: bacterial SSU rRNA
Rfam family: Bacterial small subunit ribosomal RNA
Source: RNAcentral
GCUGGCGGCGUGCUUAACACAUGCAAGUCGAACGAGUAAAGGUUCUUCGGAAUCCGAGUAAAGUGGCGCACGGGUGAGUAACGCGUAGAUAAUCUAUCCUGGUGUAUGGGAUAACCCUCCGAAAGGGGGACUAAUACCGUAUAUAUCCGUAUCUGUUGGGAUAUGGAGGAAAGGUGGCCUCUAUUUAUACGCUAUCGCACGAGGAGGAGUCUGCGUACCAUUAGCUAGUUGGUGGGGUAAGAGCCUACCAAGGCGACGAUGGUUAGCGGGUCUGAGAGGAUGAUCCGUCACACUGGCACUGAAACACGGGCCAGACUCCUACGGGAGGCAGCAGUGAGGAAUAUUGCGCAAUGGGGGAAACCCUGACGCAGCGACGCCGCGUGAGUGAGGAAGGCCUUCGGGUCGUAAAGCUCUGUCAGAAGGGAAGAAGUGUAUGCUGGUUAAUACCCAGUAUAUUUGACGGUACCUUCAGAGGAAGCACCGGCUAACUCCGUGCCAGCAGCCGCGGUAAUACGGA